CGUAGGGUGCAAGCGUUAAUCGGAAUUACUGGGCGUAAAGCGUGCGCAGGCGGUUAUAUAAGACAGAUGUGAAAUCCCCGGGCUCAACCUGGGAACUGCAUUUGUGACUGUAUAGCUAGAGUACGGUAGAGGGGGAUGGAAUUCCGCGUGUAGCAGUGAAAUGCGUAGAUAUGCGGAGGAACACCGAUGGCGAAGGCAAUCCCCUGGACCUGUACUGACGCUCAUGCACGAAAGCGUGGGGAGCAAACAGGAUUAGACACCCUGGUAGUCCACGCCCUAAACGAUGUCAACUGGUUGUUGGGUCCUCACUGACUCAGUAACGAAGCUAACGCGUGAAGUUGACCGCCUGGGGAGUACGGCCGCAAGGUUG
RNAcentral lists this ribosomal RNA (370 nucleotides) under uncultured organism. Its description in RNAcentral is "bacterial SSU rRNA". It matches the Rfam family "Bacterial small subunit ribosomal RNA", at positions 526 to 896 of the family's 1533-position model. The record is from RNAcentral.